GGGGGUGCUGCGCGGCGUCCCGUGCGGUUGCAGGCUGGGCGGGAGGCUUCAGCCCCGAGAGCGCUCUGUUUGGUGUAGAAUUCACCGGUAAUCGCAGCACAAAUCGUCAUAAAUUCUGUGCAUCAUCAGCAGGCGUUGGCUGCGACUCGGCGUCUUGUCGGGGAAGACUCGCCCCCCGGGGCGUUGGCUGUAAAACCUGCGCGUCCGCCCAGCCGGGGCCCCGGCCUAGCUGCGGGUCGCCCGCUACCCGGGGGUAGGCAAGGCCGGCGGGUCCCUGCGGCCUGCUGAUGGGACCGGGGUCCAGACCGGAGGAAACGGGACAAGGGCACGCUACCACGAGGUGUUUCCAGUUCAGCGUUUCUGCUUUGAUUAUAUAUGCGUAUUUUUAAUAUUUUAUUUAUUUAUUUAUUUAUUUAUUUAUUUAUUUAUUUAUUCACGAGAGACACAGAGAGAGAGAGGCAGAGACCCAGGCAGAGGGAGAAGCAGGCUCCACGCAGGGAGCCCGACGGGGGACUCGAUCCCGUGACCCCGGGGUCACGCCCUGGGCCCCAGGCAGAUGCUCCACCGCUGGGCCACCCCCGGCUGCCCGAAAAUCCUCAUUUUAAAGGUACUUCCUUAUUGCUAAAUCCAGUGGAGUUUUUCCCCCCACACACACCUCUUGUAUUUUUCCUUCCUGCAGUAUUUGACACACUAGACUAUUUCCUUGAAGUGUUUCCUCCGUGAUUUCUGCCACAACCAGGACUCUUUAUUUCCCCCACCCGUCAGGUAGCUCCUUCUCAUUCUCCUUUGCAAGCCUCUCUGCCUCUGCACCUGAAAACACUGGUGAACCUAGGAGUUUUUCUCCCUCUAGCAUCUCUCUGGGCGAUUUCCAUUCCACGGAUUUCCAACUGUCACCUAAAUGCUGAAGACUCAGAGGCCUAAUUUCAGCCUGGAUCUCCCUCCUAAAUUCUGUAUCCUUACCGGCUAGUUAUUUCUGUCACACAGAUCUGAGCUGCACAUGCUGAAGGCGGGAACUCCCUGGCUCUCUUCUGCCCUCUAACUAGCUUCUAGUCUUACUUGCCCUCACAAAGGGGCGCCUUUUCCUUUCCCUACUCCGCCAUCCAUCUGAUUGCUCAAGCCAGGAGCCUGGGACACAUCUUGACCUAAACACAAAUUAGAUCAAUGGAUCCCUAGGAUCUUUAGGAUUAAAAAACGUCCAAGUUACUUGGCAUAGCACAAAGAAUCGGCCCUGACUUGGUCUUUCAGUUUUAGCUCUUCUCACCUCCCGCCCAGUGUUCUAGCCCGUAGUAUCAGCAGCACAUGGUAGAAAAGCCAUUUGGUCACAAUCAGAUUGUACGAGAUAGCAAUCAAUUAAAUCCAACAAACAUGUGCUGAGCAAGCACCUAUUAUUUAGCGGGUUCCCGGACAUAAUAUGGUAUUGGAGGAAAUGGACGCCAGCUUUCCGUUUACUGAAGAACACAAGUUUAUUUUGAAGGACACAAGUUUAAAAAUAUAAUCGAAAAAAUGAAAACACCAAUUGGCCCUUGAAUGUGGUUAAAUAGUGUGGGUCCACUUAUAUGCACGUUUUUUUCAAUACAGUGUAGUACUGUAUUUUCUCUUAUAAUUUUUUUAAAUUCAAUUUGCCAACAUAUAGUAUAACACUCAGUGCUCACCCCAUCACAUGCCCUCCUUAGUGCCCGGCCCUGUCACCCCACCCGCCCACCCGCCCACGCCCACCCGCCCACCCGCCUCCCCUUCCGCAUCCGUUUCCCAGGGUCAGGAGUCUCUCAUGGUCUCUAGCUUUCUUUGUUGUAAGAAUAGAAUGUAGCGGCACCUGGAUGGCUCAGUAGGUUAAGUGCCUGACUCCUUUCAGCUCAGAUCUUUUAUCUCAGGGUUAGGAGUUCAAGCCCCACAUUGGGCUCCAUGGUGGGUGUGGGGCCUACUUUAAAAAUACAAUAUAUAUUUAUUACUUAAAAAUUAUGUGUUGAUCAACUAUAUUAUUGGCAAGUCUUCCAAUCAACAGUAGGCUUAUUAAUAGUUGCUUUGGGAAAGUCAGAUUAUACAUAGUUUCGACUGUGCAGCGGGGUUGGUGUUCCUAACCUGUUAUUGUUCAAGGGUCAACUGUAUUUAAUUAAAAAUUAUCACGGAUGCUAUAAAGGAAAAGCUUUGUAAGAUGGUUUGAGAAGCUACUGAUUUAUGAUUUAGAUUGGGGGUAAAGGAAUGCCUUUUAGAGGAAGUGACAUUUAAGUAGAGACUUGAAGACAAAGCAGGCAAAAGGGAUUCAGGUGGCAAGGCCCCAGGAUAGGAGUCUCCGUUCCCAAUCCACCCUUCUUUACUUGGUUUUGCCAAACAUCUCUUUUGCCUGUUGGCUCCCUGUUGGGCUUGGUCAGAGGGCACUGGGGAACAAUGGGAGGAGAUGGUGGUGGGAAGACACUUCCCUCACAGGUGGAUCAUUGCCAUUGACCAGUUCCAACCUGCUCGUGCUUUCUGGCCAACAGCGAAGGACCUCUCCAGCCCACGCCCUCCGGCAUGUUUCUUCACCAGGCUCCACGUUCUGUGGUAACCAAGUCCCCUUUGGAGAGGUCUCAAGGCUCUCCUAAACUCCCAGUUCCUUCACUGUAGCUGGUAGGUUUUUUCACCUGCGACUUCUGGAUCCCUUUAACAGUCCUUGUUUUAUCCCUUUUAGUAGUUAACCACCUCUUACUAUUUAGCAACUAUUUAUAUUAAAAUUUCCUUUUCAAAGUUUUAGUGUUGGUCUCUCUCUCCUGACAUGAAGUGUUUACUUAUUCAAGAAACUUCAAAAAAAAAAAAAAAAAGAAACUUCAAGAUAGGGCAGCCCAGAUGGCUCAGUGGUUUAGCACCGCCUUCAGCCCAGUAUGUGAUCCUGGAGACCCAGGAUCGAGUCCCGCGUGGGGUCCCUGCUUCUGUCUCUGCCUCUCUCUGUCUCUCAUGAAUAAAAUAAAGUUUAAAAAAAAAAAAAAACUUCAGGAGAGGAGUGGGGAGCAGAAAGGCUUAGGGGAGAGUGGAGAAUGACUUGCUGUGAAGUUGGAAAAUACAAAAUGCACAGAAAGCAAUGCAGACCAUACUAAUUUAUUAAAAAAGAUUUUAUUUUUAAUCUUCACACCCAACCUGGGGCUUGAGCUCACAACCUCAAAAUUAAAUCUCAUGCUCUGCCCACUGAGCCAGCCAGGCGCCCUCCUUAUUAAAGACUUUAGAUGACAUCUUAAAUGCAAUUUGAAGCAAAAACUUUCAAGUAGGGGUGUGUAUGUGUGUCACAAUCGAAUUUACUUGUUUAAAAGAUUCUUUUGGGCUUUUGAUUCUGUAUAAACAUGUUAGCCGCCUGGUUCUGGGUCUCUCUAUCCCUCCUAGAAACCACGGAGAGCAACAAGGAAAACAUAGGACCAUGAAUCCCCCCCCAAACACUACCUUAGGUGACACUAAGAGGGCAGAGAAAACUUAGAAGUUCCACACCGAGUGGUAAUGCAUGGGAGGCCACCAGAGUGCAGUGUACCAAGAGUGGGAUGAGUGGGAUACUGAUGGCAGGUCUCACUCUGCAAAUAUUCACCCUGCGUGGAGACUGCAGUGAGGACCGAACAACUGUGUGAGUGCUGGGAGCAGUGGAGAAGGGAGGGAGAUGUGUAAAGUGCCUGGGGUCCAGAGGUCUUUCAGAAAGCAAGUUAGGGGAUCUCCUUGAAACACAGGCAUUAGGUCUUAAUGUAGCAGAUGAAGGAAUCCAGGGAGCUGAGAGCCUGCACAUAACUUCUGAACAAGGUCAUAUCCCAAGGGAGGGAAUUCAUUGUAGCCAGAGGGAGGUGAGAAAACUGGACGGGGUUCCUCUCCUUCAUUCUCCAAACAGUUUCAAAUACAAAUAAGCAGAAAUGAAUAAACACAGCACUUGUGCAGAUGCUCUA
This 3890-nucleotide long non-coding RNA is filed under the name Canis lupus familiaris (dog). RNAcentral describes it as "lncRNA (ENSCAFG00000050512.1)". The record is from RNAcentral. Lineage: Eukaryota; Metazoa; Chordata; Mammalia; Carnivora; Canidae.